CCGAGUGGCGCGAAAUUCCUGUCGUGAGACGGGGGAAGCUACCCGACCUUUUGUCAUUUUGUCAAGUCUGGCUGGCGGGAUUGCAUUCGUGAGAAGCGAAUGUGGAUUUCGGCAGACGGACCAAAACUUCGGCGGAAGAGGUAGGCGUCGACCUGCCCGCCGCCGGCCGUAGAAGACAAUAACAUUCUUGAGAGCAAACUGAAGUCUAAGACGAUCCUUGAAAAAGGAAUAACCAAAAAAAAGCA
This 245-nucleotide unclassified non-coding RNA is filed under the name uncultured Ascomycota. RNAcentral's name for it is "sequence contains ITS1". The record is from RNAcentral. Lineage: Eukaryota; Fungi; Ascomycota.